AGGUCACGGCGAGACGAGCCGUUUAUCAUUACGAUAGGUGUCAAGUGGAAGUGCAGUGAUGUAUGCAGCUGAGGCAUCCUAACAGACCGAGAGAUUUGAACCU
Molecule: ribosomal RNA, 103 nt
Filed under: Zostera marina
Lineage: Eukaryota; Viridiplantae; Streptophyta; Magnoliopsida; Alismatales; Zosteraceae
Also listed under: 3 other names
Description: 4.5S ribosomal RNA
Source: RNAcentral